Sebastes umbrosus (honeycomb rockfish) is the source of this 183-nucleotide long non-coding RNA. RefSeq lists it as uncharacterized. The record is from RefSeq and is a predicted model, not a curated record. The transcript is spliced from 3 exons. Lineage: Eukaryota; Metazoa; Chordata; Actinopteri; Perciformes; Sebastidae.
GGGGGCAUUAGAGUCACGGAAAGGGGGAUAGAGAGAGAGAGAUGACAUGCGGCAAAGGUCCACAGGCCGGAUUCGAACCCGGGUCCACCGCGGCUAGGACUGAGCCUUGGCCAUACAUGGGCGCCCGCUGUACCAACUGAGCUAGCCAGGCGCCCAAAUUUGACAUUUUUGGGUGACCAAAAA